Molecule: ribosomal RNA, 245 nt
Filed under: uncultured bacterium
Lineage: Bacteria
Description: partial 16S ribosomal RNA
Rfam family: Bacterial small subunit ribosomal RNA
Source: RNAcentral
UACGAACUGUGCAAACGUUAUUCGGAAUCACUGGGCUUAAAGGGUGCGUAGGCGGCUGUCUAAGUAGGGUGUGAAAGCCCCCGGCUCAACCGGGGAAUUGCGCCCUAAACUGGAUGGCUGGAGUGAGGCAGGGGUGUGUGGAACUUCCGGUGGAGCGGUGAAAUGUGUUGAUAUCGGAAGGAACGCCGGUGGCGAAAGCGACACACUGGGUCUCAACUGACGCUGAGGCACGAAAGCCAGGGGAG